RNAcentral lists this ribosomal RNA (527 nucleotides) under uncultured Ktedonobacter sp. RNAcentral describes it as "bacterial SSU rRNA". It matches the Rfam family "Bacterial small subunit ribosomal RNA", at positions 355 to 897 of the family's 1533-position model. The record is from RNAcentral. Lineage: Bacteria; Bacillati; Chloroflexota; Ktedonobacteria; Ktedonobacterales; Ktedonobacteraceae.
UGAGGAAUUUUCCGCAAUGGUCGCAAGACUGACGGAGCAACGCCGCGUGCAGGAGGACGCUUUUCGGAGUGUAAACUGCUUUUCUGUGGGACGAGGAUGGACGGUACCACAGGAAGAAGCCCCGGCUAACUACGUGCCAGCAGCCGCGGUAAUACGUAGGGGGCGAGCGUUGUCCGGAGUUACUGGGCGUAAAGGGCACGCAGGCGGUGCGGCGCGUUUCGCGUGACAGCGGAGGGCUUACCUCUCCGAGGAUGCGAAAGACGGCGGCACUUGAGGGCCAGAGAGGGACACGGAAUUCCGGGUGGAGUGGUGAAAUGCGUAGAGAUCCGGAGGAACACCGAAGGCGAAGGCAGUGUCCUGGCUGGUGACUGACGCUGAGGUGCGAAAGCUAGGGGAGCGAACGGGAUUAGAUACCCCGGUAGUCCUAGCCGUAAACGAUGACCACCAGGUGUGGGAGGUAUCGACCCCUUCCGUGCCGGAGUUAACACACUAAGUGGUCCGCCUGGGGAGUACGGUCGCAAGAUUAA